UGAUUACACAUAACUUGCAGGGAGAGAAAGGAAAUAAUAAAGGAUCAUUUUUACCAUUCCUUCUGUUAAGUGACUCUAUAAUCAGAUAUAAAAAAAAGAAUGGUUGGAUUCCCAUUCAUCAAAUCUGUGUUCCUGAUCCUACCGCUGUUGUGUUUGGUUUGCAAUGCAGAUAUACCGUUAUUAAAAAGAGGUCUGGUCAAAACAAUGGACAACCUUCAAAUAAUGUUAGAGUCAGCUGUUCAAG
Long non-coding RNA from Poeciliopsis prolifica (blackstripe livebearer), 244 nucleotides. RefSeq lists it as uncharacterized. The record is from RefSeq and is a predicted model, not a curated record. Lineage: Eukaryota; Metazoa; Chordata; Actinopteri; Cyprinodontiformes; Poeciliidae. The transcript has 3 exons.